Molecule: ribosomal RNA, 520 nt
Filed under: Metamycoplasma cloacale
Lineage: Bacteria; Bacillati; Mycoplasmatota; Mycoplasmoidales; Metamycoplasmataceae
Description: bacterial SSU rRNA
Rfam family: Bacterial small subunit ribosomal RNA
Source: RNAcentral
CGCCUGAGUAGUAUGCUCGCAAGAGUGAAACUUAAAGGAAUUGACGGGGACCCGCACAAGCGGUGGAGCAUGUGGUUUAAUUUGAAGAUACACGGAAAACCUUACCCACUCUUGACAUCCUUCGCAAAGCUAUAGAGAUAUAGUGGAGGUUAACGGAGUGACAGAUGGUGCAUGGUUGUCGUCAGCUCGUGUCGUGAGAUGUUUGGUCAAGUCCUGCAACGAGCGCAACCCCUGUCUUUAGUUACUAACAAGUAAUGUUGAGGACUCUAGAGAUACUGCCUGGGUAACUGGGAGGAAGGUGGGGAUGACGUCAAAUCAUCAUGCCUCUUACGAGUGGGGCCACACACGUGCUACAAUGGUCGGUACAAAGAGAAGCAAUAUGGCGACAUGGAGCAAAUCUCAAAAAGCCGAUCUCAGUUCGGAUUGGAGUCUGCAAUUCGACUCCAUGAAGUCGGAAUCGCUAGUAAUCGCAGAUCAGCUAUGCUGCGGUGAAUACGUUCUCGGGUCUUGUACACACCGC